UAUUUAUUAGAUAAAAAACCAACGCCCUUCGGGGCUCCUUGGUGAAUCAUAAUAACUUAACGAAUCGCAUGGCCUUGCGCCGGCGAUGGUUCAUUCAAAUUUCUGCCCUAUCAACUUUCGAUGGUAGGAUAGUGGCCUACCAUGGUGGCAACGGGUAACGGGGAAUUAGGGUUCGAUUCCGGAGAGGGAGCCUGAGGAACGGCUACCACAUCCAAGGAAGGCAGCAGGCGCGCAAAUUACCCAAUCCCGAUACGGGGAGGUAGUGACAAUAAAUACUGAUACGGGGCUCUUUUGGGUCUCGUAAUUGGAAUGAGAACAAUUUAAAUCCCUUAACGAGGAACAAUUGGAGGGCAAGUCUGGUGCCAGCAGCCGCGGUAAUUCCAGCUCCAAUAGCGUAUAUUAAAGUUGUUGCAGUUAAAAAGCUCGUAGUUGAACCUUGGGUCUGGCUGGCCGGUCCGCCUCACCGCGAGUACUGGUCCGGCUGGACCUUUCCUUCUGGGGAACCUCAUGGCCUUCACUGGCUGUGGGGGGAACCAGGACUUUUACUGUGAAAAAAUUAGAGUGUUCAAAGCAGGC
Molecule: ribosomal RNA, 576 nt
Filed under: uncultured eukaryote
Lineage: Eukaryota
Description: SSU rRNA
Rfam family: Eukaryotic small subunit ribosomal RNA
Source: RNAcentral